Ribosomal RNA from Callithrix jacchus (white-tufted-ear marmoset), 119 nucleotides. The record is from Ensembl. Lineage: Eukaryota; Metazoa; Chordata; Mammalia; Primates; Cebidae.
AUCUAUGGCCAUACCACCCUGAAUGCGCCCAAUCUCGUCAGGUCUUGGAAGCUAAGCAGGGUCAGACUCGGUUAGUACUUAGGUGGGAGACUGCCUGGAAAUACCAUGUGUUAUAGGCU